ACGGUGAGGGAUGAAAGCUGGGGGAGCAAACCGGAUUAGAUACCCGGGUAGUCCCAGCUGUAAACGAUGCAGACUCGGUGAUGAGUUGGCUUAUUGCUAACUCAGUGCCGCAGGGAAGCCGUUAAGUUUGCCGCCUGGGGAGUACGGUCGCAGGACUGAAACUUAAAGGAAUUGGCGGGGGAGCACCACAAGGGGUGAAGCCUGCGGUUCAAUUGGAGUCAACGCCG
Molecule: ribosomal RNA, 227 nt
Filed under: uncultured crenarchaeote
Lineage: Archaea; Thermoproteati; Thermoproteota
Description: partial 16S ribosomal RNA
Rfam family: Archaeal small subunit ribosomal RNA
Source: RNAcentral